CUCAACCGGGGCAUUGCUUGAUGAACUGCGUUUCUUGAGGCAGGUAGAGGUGCGCGGAACUCUUGGUGGAGCGGUGGAAUGCGUAGAUAUCAAGAGGAACGCCGGUGGAGAAGUCGGCGCACUGGGCCUGUCCUGACGCUGAGACACGAAAGCGUGGGGAGCAAACGGGAUUAGAUACCCCGGUAGUCCACGCUGUAAACGAUGCCUACUAGGUUGUGGCGGUUCUGACGCCGGCACAGCCGAAGCAGAAGUGUUAAGUAGGCCGCCUGGGGAGUACGGUCGCAAGGCUAAAACUCAAAGGAAUUGACGGGGGCUCACACAAGCGGUGGAGCAUGUGGAUUAAUUCGAAGCAACGCGCAGAACCUUACCUGGGUUUGACAUGCUUGGAUGCUCGCCUGGAAACAGGUGGAGCUGCUCUUCGGAGUGAAACU
This 431-nucleotide ribosomal RNA is filed under the name uncultured bacterium. RNAcentral describes it as "bacterial SSU rRNA". It matches the Rfam family "Bacterial small subunit ribosomal RNA", at positions 608 to 1034 of the family's 1533-position model. The record is from RNAcentral.